CGAGGUUAAAGCGGAUGUACAUACGUAGCCGAAAAGGGGGCCUCAUCUCCUCGAGCCUCCAGCGGUCGUCGCGUUCGGACCUUCGCUUUUCGGACCCACACUUCGGUGUGGAUAACCGGCGAGGGCCGUCGCGACGGCGGACUGGGAGGAUAGGGGGGUGGAUUUCCCUCCUCAGUAGGCAGUCGCGGCCGCUCGAGAGUUGUCCAAGACCCGGGAGUCGGGAACCGUCCGGCGAAAUAAUACUUCGCCGGCGGGGACGCUCCCUCGAUUCUGGCGGACUUUCGGACGGUUGAUAAAAAAUGACGACGUAGAGGAGAGCAAAUCCCUCGUCGUACGCGGCUGUAAUGCGAUCGUUCAUCCGUCCCGUCUUGAAACACGGACCAAGGAGUCUAACAUGUACGCGAGUCAAAGGGUUGGCUAAACCCCAAGGCGCAACGAAAGUAAAAAAGGGAUGUCCUAUUCCAGGGACGCUCGUUGGGUCGAUCCGGGCUCCUAUUAGUAUUAGUAGGACCGGCGCAGACCCGGGGCUCGCCGCUACCUCUUCGAGACACACACACGUCUCGAGGCGGGCGGCGGGCACCUAGAGCGUACAUGCUAGUACCCGAAAGAUGGUGAUCUAUGCUUGGCCAGGAUGAAGCCAGAGGAAACUCUGGUGGAGGU
RNAcentral lists this ribosomal RNA (660 nucleotides) under Proasellus deminutus. RNAcentral describes it as "eukaryotic LSU rRNA". It matches the Rfam family "Eukaryotic large subunit ribosomal RNA", at positions 386 to 874 of the family's 3401-position model. The record is from RNAcentral. Lineage: Eukaryota; Metazoa; Arthropoda; Malacostraca; Isopoda; Asellidae.